AUGGGCGGAGCAGUGCAAUUUUUAUCCAAUCCGCUAAAGCAUUGGGCGGAUGCUGUUAAUAAUAGAGAGGCUCCGCCCAUUGGAUGGGCAGAAGAGUACAAACUUGGUAAAAAGGGUCCAUUAAAAUCCCACUCCUUUGAUUAUGUAAUAUACUACAUAGGCAUGCAUGCCUAUAACAAACUGCAACCCUGCAUGCCAAGUUCUACCUGUGCGCAGAAGGAUUACAAGUCCUUGCAAGUAAAAGUUGAGUAA
Molecule: non-coding RNA, 252 nt
Organism: Vicia faba (fava bean)
Lineage: Eukaryota; Viridiplantae; Streptophyta; Magnoliopsida; Fabales; Fabaceae
Source: the annotation of a GenBank genome assembly